RNAcentral lists this transfer RNA (71 nucleotides) under Marmota monax (woodchuck). RNAcentral describes it as "tRNA.Ala". The stretch from base 6 to 66 matches the Rfam family "tRNA", at positions 6 to 65 of the family's 71-position model. Rfam says of the family: Transfer RNA (tRNA) molecules are approximately 80 nucleotides in length. Their secondary structure includes four short double-helical elements and three loops (D, anti-codon, and T loops). Further hydrogen bonds mediate the characteristic L-shaped molecular structure. tRNAs have two regions of fundamental functional importance: the anti-codon, which is responsible for specific mRNA codon recognition, and the 3' end, to which the tRNAs corresponding amino acid is attached (by aminoacyl-tRNA synthetases). tRNAs cope with the degeneracy of the genetic code in two manners: having more than one tRNA (with a specific anti-codon) for a particular amino acid; and 'wobble' base-pairing, i.e. permitting non-standard base-pairing at the 3rd anti-codon position. Lineage: Eukaryota; Metazoa; Chordata; Mammalia; Rodentia; Sciuridae. The record is from RNAcentral.
GGGGUUGUAGCUCAAUGGUAGAGUGCUUGCCUUGCAUGCAUGAGGGCCUGAGUUCAAUCCUCAGCACUACA